Molecule: non-coding RNA, 214 nt
Filed under: Desulfonatronospira thiodismutans
Lineage: Bacteria; Pseudomonadati; Thermodesulfobacteriota; Desulfovibrionia; Desulfovibrionales; Desulfonatronovibrionaceae
Also listed under: 1 other name
Source: RNAcentral
GCGCAUUUUACAAUCUGUGGUGGCCGUAAGGCCUUAAAAGGGAAGCCGGUGCAAGUCCGGCGCGGUCCCGCCGCUGUCAGUGGGGAUGAAAUCCGCAUUCAGCCACUUUGAGACAUAUUUCCCGGUAUCUUCGGGGAAUGGCAAAUUUCAGGGGAAGGCGCGGAGAGUAAGCUGAUCCACGAGCCAGAAGACCUGCCGCGGUUUGUUUUCACCU